AAUUUUUUUCAGUUUUAGAGGAUUCCAUUUUGUGAAUGUACCAUGUUUUGUUCAAGUAGUCCUAUAUUGAUGAAUAGUCUGGUUAUUGUCAAUUUUGCUAUUACAAAAAAAGUACUACAGUUAACAAUGUGCAUUCAUCAUCUUGUUUUUGGCAAGGGUAUAUUUGGUAAAGAUUACUAGAAGUACGAUUGCUGCUCGGAAGGUAAAACAUAUAUCAUUUUGCUAGGUAGUCUAUAAAAUUAUUAAGUCUAAUAUUAAUUUACUUUGUUUCUCCCAUCAGAAAGAAGCCAACAAAACGUAUAAUUGUGAAAAUUUAGGUCUCAGUGAAAUCCCUGACACUCUACCAAACACAACAGAAUUUUUGGAAUUCAGCUUUAAUUUUUUGCCUACAAUUCACAAUAGAACCUUCAGCAGACUCAUGAAUCUUACCUUUUUGGAUUUAACUAGGUGCCAGAUUAACUGGAUACACGAAGACACUUUUCAAAGCCAUCAUCAAUUGAGCACACUUGUG
Molecule: small RNA, 511 nt
Filed under: Pongo abelii (Sumatran orangutan)
Lineage: Eukaryota; Metazoa; Chordata; Mammalia; Primates; Hominidae
Description: retained intron
Source: RNAcentral